This 245-nucleotide ribosomal RNA is filed under the name uncultured bacterium. Its description in RNAcentral is "partial 16S ribosomal RNA". It matches the Rfam family "Bacterial small subunit ribosomal RNA", at positions 524 to 768 of the family's 1533-position model. The record is from RNAcentral.
GACGAAGGUGGCAAGCGUUGUUCGGAAUCACUGGGCUUAAAGCGUGUGUAGGCGGCUCAUCAAGUGCCUUGUGAAAUCCCUCGGCUCAACCGAGGAAUGGCUUGGUAUACUGAUGGGCUUGAGGCAGGUAUGGGUGCGUGGAACUCUUGGUGGAGCGGUGGAAUGCGUAGAUAUCAAGAGGAACGCCGGAGGUGAAGACGACGCACUGGGCCUGUCCUGACGCUGAGACACGAAAGCCAGGGGAG